CGGACGGGUGAGUAACACGUGGAUAACCUACCUAUAAGACCGGGAUAACUUCGGGAAACCGGAGCUAAUACCAGAUAAUAUUUUGAACCGCAUGGUUCAAAAGUGAAAGACGGUCUUGCUGUCACUUAUAGAUGGAUCCGCGCUGCAUUAGCUAGUUGGUAAGGUAACGGCUUACCAAGGCAACGAUGCAUAGCCGACCUGAGAGGGUGAUCGGCCACACUGGAACUGAGACACGGUCCAG
Molecule: ribosomal RNA, 241 nt
Filed under: uncultured Staphylococcus sp.
Lineage: Bacteria; Bacillati; Bacillota; Bacilli; Caryophanales; Staphylococcaceae
Description: partial 16S ribosomal RNA
Rfam family: Bacterial small subunit ribosomal RNA
Source: RNAcentral